CAACGCGAANAACCUUAUCCUUUGUUGCCAGCGGUNNGGCCGGGAACUCAAAGGAGACUGCCAGUGAUAAACUGGAGGAAGGUGGGGAUGACGUCAAGUCAUCAUGGCCCUUACGAGUAGGGCUACACACGUGCUACAAUGGCGCAUACAAAGAGAAGCNACCUCGNGAGAGCAAGCGGACCUCAUAAAGUGCGUCGUAGUCCGGAUUGGAGUCUGCAACUCGACUCCAUGAAGUCGGAAUCGCUANUAAUCGUGGAUCAGAAUGCCACG
This 270-nucleotide ribosomal RNA is filed under the name uncultured bacterium. RNAcentral describes it as "partial 16S ribosomal RNA". It matches the Rfam family "Bacterial small subunit ribosomal RNA", at positions 1090 to 1361 of the family's 1533-position model. The record is from RNAcentral.